AUGACAUUAUUAUCUAAAGAAAUAUCUGUGAACAAUAAAGCAAAGAAAGCGGAGACUGCGGCGGCCGCAGGGCGCGGACGGCCGUAUUUGCCUGCGCAGCCCGAGCCGCCGCCAACAAAAAGUUCGCCGCCGCCCGGGGUGAUAUCUUACAAACCGAACUUGGCCGCGCACAGGCCCGCCACCGCCCUCCACGCCGCUGGGAGUGUCCACUCGCCGUCCACCAGCGUGGCGACGUCUUCACAGUACCGCCAGCUGCUCAGUGACCACGGGCCACCGUCCCCAGGCUAUACCCAGGGACCUGGGAAUAGCAGGUGCCCCAAAGCAAACACGCGGGCUGCUGGCCAUCACUGAAGAGCUGGGGAAGGGGAUCAGGCCCACGUCCGCGGGCAGCAAGAGCGCCAUGGAGAGGCUGAAGCCUGCAUCGUUCACGCUGGAGGCCUGGCUCGGGAGGGCUCGGCACAAACGGAACGGAAUGCCAGAUCCUAGCUUCCCUGUUGGUUUUGAAGGAUUCCCGUCUUUUUACAGGAUGAGAAGUUACAGUUCAUCUCCCCUGUUCAGAUGAAACCCUUGUUUUCAAAAUGGUUACAGUUCAGUUUUUCCUCCCAUGGUUCACUUGGGUCUGAACCUACAGUCUCAAAGAUUGAGAAAAGAUUUUGCAGUGAAUUAGGAUUUGCAAUUUAAGUAGUUAGGAACUGCCCAGGUUUUUUUGGUUUGUUUUUUGUUUUUAAGCAUUGAUUUAAAAGAUGCUCCUAAAGUUAUCUUACAGCAAACUAGUUUGCCUCCAAGACACCAUUGUCUCCCUUUAAUCUUCUCUUUUGAAUACAUUUGUUACUCACAGUGUYCUUUGUUCCUUUUCAUAAGCUAAUACCACUCUAGGGAUUUYGUUUUUAAUGCAUAUUGACAGCACACUUUACUUAGUAGCUGGUUCUCAUUUGCCAUACAGUGUAGAUUCUGCUGAAUGUAACUUCUUUUUUGCUUAAGCAUUUGCAUGACUAUUAGUGCUUCAAAGUCAGUUUUUAAAAAUGCACAAGUUCUAAAUACAGAAGAAAAAGCAACCCACCAAACCCAACAAGGACCCCCGAACAUUUUCAUACUAAGACUGUAAGUAGAUCUCAGUUCCUCGUUUAUUGUAAGUUGAUCAAAACAUCUGGAAGAAAAUGACUAAAACUGUUUUCAUUUUUGUAUGUACUUAUUACUUGAUGUAAUAAAGCUUAUUUUCAUUAA
This is an RNA transcript of Sapajus apella (tufted capuchin), 1224 nucleotides long. It is a transcript of the gene named cyclin-dependent kinase 2-associated protein 1 pseudogene, with no coding region annotated. The record is from RefSeq and is a predicted model, not a curated record. The transcript is spliced from 3 exons. Lineage: Eukaryota; Metazoa; Chordata; Mammalia; Primates; Cebidae.